RNAcentral lists this ribosomal RNA (253 nucleotides) under uncultured bacterium. RNAcentral describes it as "partial 16S ribosomal RNA". It matches the Rfam family "Bacterial small subunit ribosomal RNA", at positions 524 to 776 of the family's 1533-position model. The record is from RNAcentral.
UACGUAGGGUGCAAGCGUUAAUCGGAAUUACUGGGCGUAAAGCGUGCGCAGGCGGUGAUGCAAGACAGAUGUGAAAUCCCCGGGCUUAACCUGGGAACUGCAUUUGUGACUGCAUUGCUGGAGUGCGGCAGAGGGGGAUGGAAUUCCCAGUGUAGCGGUGAAAUGCGUAGAUAUUGGGAGGAACACCAGUGGCGAAGGCGGCUCACUGGACCGGAACUGACGCUGAGGCGCGAAAGCUAGGGGAGCAAACAGG